GGUGGCCUGCAUGCAGCUCAUCAAUGCUCUGGUGACGUCUCCAGACGAGCUGGACUUCAGGCUUCACAUCAGGAAUGAGUUUAUUCGUUCCGGCCUCAGAGAGAUUUUACCGCAUCUGACAACGAUCAGGAACGAUGCUCUGGACAUUCAGCUCAAGGUGUUUGAGGAGCACAAGGAAGAGGAUCUGAUGGAGCUCAGUCACCGGCUGGAGGACAUCAGGAGUGAACUGGAA
Molecule: long non-coding RNA, 232 nt
Organism: Oncorhynchus nerka (sockeye salmon)
Lineage: Eukaryota; Metazoa; Chordata; Actinopteri; Salmoniformes; Salmonidae
Exons: 3
Source: RefSeq, a predicted model, not a curated record